CCGGGCACUCUGGAGGGACUGCCGGCGACAAGCCGGAGGAAGGUGGGGAUGACGUCAAGUCAUCAUGGCCCUUAUGUCCGAGGGCGACACACGUGCUACAAUGGCCGGCACAGCGGGAAGCGGAGGGCGACCCUGAGCGGAUCCCUUGAAGCCGGUCCCAGUUCGGAUUGCAGUCUGCAACUCGACUGCAUGAAGUUGGAAUCGCUAGUAAUCGCGGAUCAGCCAAGCCGCGGUGAAUACGUUCCCGGGCCUU
Molecule: ribosomal RNA, 253 nt
Filed under: uncultured Thermovirga sp.
Lineage: Bacteria; Thermotogati; Synergistota; Synergistia; Synergistales; Thermovirgaceae
Description: partial 16S ribosomal RNA
Rfam family: Bacterial small subunit ribosomal RNA
Source: RNAcentral